Gallus gallus (chicken) is the source of this 689-nucleotide long non-coding RNA. Lineage: Eukaryota; Metazoa; Chordata; Aves; Galliformes; Phasianidae. The record is from Ensembl.
UGAAGACCCUGUAUUUUCUCUCUUUUUUUUUUUUUUCUCCCUCUCAUUCCCAGACUUAUUUUGAGACUGAUCCAUCCUACAAUGCCAAUGUAACUUGCAGGUGUUUCCUGUCACUAUUUCUGACCACAAUGGCUGAAGACCACCUUAUCAAGGUGCUGGACCUAAAACAAAAAUAGAAUGGAAGAACAGUCCCAGUGGAGAGAAGUAAAUGAGAGAGGCAGAGGGGUGAAGAGAAGAAAGGAGUAAAGGAAGAAUCACAUCGGGUGACUGAUCCUCCAAGGGGCGAGCUGGAGAAAUGUGCUCCUCAGGGACCUCUGGCAGGAGGAUAUCUUCAGUUCUGCAGAAGUAAUUCCAGAGCACGAGACCAUCAGAAUGAACAGGUCCUGCGAUGUGAUCCAUCCAGAAUACAUAACACUCCCUGUGUCCAAGAGGAAAGUGCAACCAAAAACCACCCGGAGACAUAAAUAUCGUGGCUGCAGCUCAUUUAACUAGUAUGUAGAUGGACAAAACAGCAACAGCGUUACAUAUAAUGCAGGAACAUUAAAGAAAAUAUACUACUUGCUGGAAAGCAUAGUGCUGCUCUCCAUCUGCCUUAUCACUGGAUUCCAAUGGUUGGGUGCCCGCAGACCUUUUGCAUUAAAUUUUACAUUGAUUUUUAUGACUAGUUAUUACAUGUAAUGUCUGAGCGC